This is a long non-coding RNA of Wasmannia auropunctata (little fire ant), 432 nucleotides long. RefSeq lists it as uncharacterized. The transcript is spliced from 2 exons. Lineage: Eukaryota; Metazoa; Arthropoda; Insecta; Hymenoptera; Formicidae. The record is from RefSeq and is a predicted model, not a curated record.
UACGAAAUUUUGAUUUUAGAGAACUGUGCAGCAAUUAAAAAAAUUAUGGACUAAUUUAAAGCAAGCUCAAAGAGAUGCCUUAACUAAGGAAAGGCAAUCACGUCUAGCAACUGGUGGAGGACCGCAGGAAAUAGAAGCAAAUAUUGAUCCUGAUAUUCUUAAUAUUGCACCGCAUCUGAUGACAAAUGCACCAGUAUUAUUCUCAUCAAACAUGACUGAAACAGAAAUGAAAGAUAAACACGAGUUAACAGUAAACUUAUUAUCUAUGAAUGAAAAUUUAGAUGUUUUACAUAGUACAGACGAAAAUUUACAGACAAGUGAUGACGAUAAUCAAAAUAAAGAAAUAAUCGAAAUAAAUAAUAAAUAAUAAUGCAAAUAAUGUAACAGACAGUACAAACACAACUGUUGUAAUAUUUAGAGGGCGAAGUGAAA